UUUUUUUUUUUUUCUUUCUUUUUUUUUUUUUUUUUUUUCUUCCC
Molecule: non-coding RNA, 44 nt
Filed under: uncultured Pelagophyceae
Lineage: Eukaryota; Pelagophyceae
Source: RNAcentral